UGAAAACUGUGGAUGAAACAGGAAAGGUCACACCACCAGGCCCUACCUGCAACGUGAUGUUGGACUGAGGCCAGUUUUUCACAUCCUGAAGUUCGACGGAGCGCCAUUCUGACACUUGGCCAUCUGGCAGGGUGUCUGCUGAAGAUCUGUCACCUCACAAAACUCGCCACUGAGGAGCCAAAAUACAUC
Poecilia reticulata (guppy) is the source of this 189-nucleotide long non-coding RNA. RefSeq lists it as uncharacterized. The record is from RefSeq and is a predicted model, not a curated record. NCBI's taxonomy places the organism in Eukaryota, Metazoa, Chordata, Actinopteri, Cyprinodontiformes, Poeciliidae.